This 872-nucleotide non-coding RNA is filed under the name Lyrodus sp. FL G0. The record is from RNAcentral. Lineage: Eukaryota; Metazoa; Mollusca; Bivalvia; Myida; Teredinidae.
AGUGUUCGUUUCCGGCAUUGUGUUGGCUCUUUCUGGGAUUACACAUGUUACUUUGUGGGUGUAGGGAGUUAUAGUACUGUUUUGUUUCUUCUUUAAGAGGGGAGGGAAAGUGGUAGCAUCUGAAAAUCAGAUUAGAAUUCGAUGACUUUGCGAUAGAUUCCCCUACUUCAGUGGUUAAGAUUAGUUAAAUAUUUCAGAAAUGAAUAACUAGUUAUGAUAGGAAAGAGGAGGAGAGAAUAAAGUGCCAGCAUCUGCGGUUAAACUUUGUCUCCGAGUUAAUACGAGUUCGUGGUGAGAUGUCAAAGAAUUUAAGGCUUUAUUCUUGUUUAGUUCGGUGAAAUGAUUAAAUCAAGGAUUUCUGAGAGUCUUGACUUUGUUUGUCUGUGAGGCUGGGAGUUAGACGGGGAUUAGAUACCCCCUUAUUAAUGUUGUAUUAUGAAGCCAUGGGUAGUACGGGCGGUUGUUUAAAAUCCAAGGAAAUUGGCGGUAACUUCAUAUCAUGUGAGGGGAACUUGGCGGUUAAUCCGAUAGUCCUCGUGGACUUUACCUUUUGUAUUCUUAGCCUACCGCCGUUGUCAGUAAUUUUUUUGUUAAUACAGAGGAUUGCUAGGGGUAAUGGGUGAAUUUAACUGUUCUACUCGAAUUCAGGUAAGGGUGCUGGUUAUCAAAAGGGCUUAGCUGAGUUACAUUUAUAAAAUAAUACGGAAAUAAGCUUGAAAUAGGCUUAUGAAAGGUGUACUUCAUAGUAAUUUUUUAUAGUGAGGAAAAAUGAAUCGGUUCUGGGUUGUGUACAAAUCGCCCGGCACCCCUGUAUAACCAAGUCUGGGUAAGUCGUAACAAAGUAAUACUACCGUAAGGUGGCUUUACAGAAU